RNAcentral lists this long non-coding RNA (638 nucleotides) under Rattus norvegicus (Norway rat). RNAcentral describes it as "long non-coding RNA NONRATT016018". Lineage: Eukaryota; Metazoa; Chordata; Mammalia; Rodentia; Muridae. The record is from RNAcentral.
AGCUCUUCAGUCAAGGGAAAACAAAUAGUCAUUCUUUCUCUUGCCAAAAACAAUUUGCUAACCCAUCAUCUGCCCAGAAGACAAACGGAAAAUAAAAGACAACCGCGGCCCCAUACAGUGACAAAUCCAUAGAAGAAACCCAUAGAAUUCCAGUCAACUCAGCGUGGAGCUGCCAAGACAGCACCGUGGGGCCCUGAUAUGACAACCGACAGAGGCCAGUCCCUCUCUGUGAUUCUCACCUACCCUCAUCAUUGACUUUAUCCAGCCCUGUUACCUCCACACAGAAAACAGAGGUCCAAGCAAGUGAAGAAGUCUGAUAAGGUAUCGGGCAGGGAGUAGCAGAGACUGCACCAGAGCUUAUGUGUUCUGGCUUCUGAUCUGGCCUUUUUCUCCAGCACUACCCCACAAUGAAAGGCACCUUGUGCACAGUGGGGUGGGGUGCCCAGCCGGAAUUUGUUCUCCUUAGGUUAGUUUCCAAAUCAGUCUCCAUGGUAUCAGAGCCGUUACUCUAAUCAAAGAGUCUCCAGAACUCGGGCUCUGGGUGGUAAAGUCCGGCUCGUUUCAGUGUUACUUGUUUUGUUUUUGGAAAGUGGAGGGAAGUGGAGCUAAAUAAAAGUAUCAUUUUUACUCGAUGACCU